RNAcentral lists this ribosomal RNA (502 nucleotides) under uncultured bacterium. Its description in RNAcentral is "partial 16S ribosomal RNA". It matches the Rfam family "Bacterial small subunit ribosomal RNA", at positions 29 to 523 of the family's 1533-position model. The record is from RNAcentral.
AUUGAACGCUGGCGGCAUGCCUUACACAUGCAAGUCGAACGGCAGCACGGGAGCUUGCUCCUGGUGGCGAGUGGCGAACGGGUGAGUAAUACAUCGGAACGUACCCAGGAGUGGGGGAUAACGUAGCGAAAGUUACGCUAAUACCGCAUAUUCUGUGAGCAGGAAAGCGGGGGAUCGCAAGACCUCGCGCUCUUGGAGCGGCCGAUGUCGGAUUAGCUAGUUGGUGAGGUAAAAGCUCACCAAGGCGACGAUCCGUAGCAGGUCUGAGAGGAUGGUCUGCCACACGGGGACUGAGACACGGCCCAGACUCCUACGGGAGGCAGCAGUGGGGAAUUUUGGACAAGGGGGGCAACCCUGAUCCAGCCAUGCCGCGUGAGUGAAGAAGGCCUUCGGGUUGUAAAGCUCUUUCGGCGGGGAAGAAAUGGCAACGGCUAAUAUCCGUUGUUGAUGACGGUACCCGCAUAAGAAGCACCGGCUAACUACGUGCCAGCCGCCGCGGUAA